This 1381-nucleotide ribosomal RNA is filed under the name Streptomyces somaliensis. RNAcentral's name for it is "bacterial SSU rRNA". It matches the Rfam family "Bacterial small subunit ribosomal RNA". The record is from RNAcentral. Lineage: Bacteria; Bacillati; Actinomycetota; Actinomycetes; Kitasatosporales; Streptomycetaceae.
UCAGGCAGGGAUUAGUGGCGAACGGGUGAGUAACACGUGGGCAAUCUGCCCUGCACUCUGGGACAAGCCCUGGAAACGGGGUCUAAUACCGGAUAUGACUGUCCAUCGCAUGGUGGAUGGUGUAAAGCUCCGGCGGUGCAGGAUGAGCCCGCGGCCUAUCACCUUGUUGGUGAGGUAGUGGCUCACCAAGGCGACGACGGGUAGCCGGCCUGAGAGGGCGACCGGCCACCCUGGGACUGAGACACGGCCCAUACUCCUACGGGAGGCAGCAGUGGGGAAUAUUGCACAAUGGGCGAAAGCCUGAUGCAGCGACGCCGCGUGAGGGAUGACGGCCUUCGGGUUGUAAACCUCUUUCAGCAGGGAAGAAGCGAAAGUGACGGUACCUGCAGAAGAAGCGCCGGCUAACUACGUGCCAGCAGCCGCGGUAAUACGUAGGGCGCAAGCGUUGUCCGGAAUUAUUGGGCGUAAAGAGCUCGUAGGCGGCUUGUCACGUCGGUUGUGAAAGCCCGGGGCUUAACCCCGGGUCUGCAGUCGAUACGGGCAGGCUAGAGUUCGGUAGGGGAGAUCGGAAUUCCUGGUGUAGCGGUGAAAUGCGCAGAUAUCAGGAGGAACACCGGUGGCGAAGGCGGAUCUCUGGGCCGAUACUGACGCUGAGGAGCGAAAGCGUGGGGAGCGAACAGGAUUAGAUACCCUGGUAGUCCACGCCGUAAACGGUGGGCACUAGGUGUGGGAACAUUCCACGUUGUCCGUGCCGCAGCUAACGCAUUUAAGUGCCCGCCUGGGGAGUACGGCCGCAAGGCUAAAAACUCAAGGAAUUGACGGGGGCCCGCACAAGCGGCGGAGCAUGUGGCUUAAUUCGACGCAACGCGAAGAACCUUACCAAGGCUUGACAUACACCGGAAACGUCUGGAAACAGGCGCCCCCUUGUGGGUCGUGUACAGGUGGUGCAUGGCUGUCCUCAGCUCGUGUCCUGAAAUGUUGGGUUAAGUCCCGCAACGAGCGCAACCCUUUUGUCCUUGUUGCCAGCAAGCCCUUGUGGUUGCUGGGACUCACGGGAAACCGCCGGGGUCAACUCGGAAGAAGGGUGGGACACGUCAAGUCUUCAUGCCCCUUAUGUCUUGGGCUGCCACCUGGCUAAAUGGGCCGGUACAAUGGACUUGCGAACCCCGGAGGUGGAACGAAAUCCAAAAAGCCGGUCUCUAGUUCGAUUGGGGUCCGCAAUCCAACCCUGGAAGCCGGAACCCUAAAAUCCGAAACCAAUUUGGCGGGAAAAAUUUCCCCGGCUUUAACCACCCCGUAUCGGCAAAAUCUGGAACCCAAACGUGGCCCAACUCUUUUGGGAAGUGCUUGAUGGGGAUUGGUUUGGAAAGAGAAAUAAGAG